This 292-nucleotide ribosomal RNA is filed under the name uncultured bacterium. RNAcentral describes it as "partial 16S ribosomal RNA". It matches the Rfam family "Bacterial small subunit ribosomal RNA", at positions 505 to 796 of the family's 1533-position model. The record is from RNAcentral.
GUGUCAGCAGCCGCGGUAAUACGAAGGGGGCAAGCGUUGUUCGGAAUUACUGGGCGUAAAGGGCGCGCAGGCGGCCUGACAAGUCAGAUGUGAAAGCCCCGGGCUCAACCUGGGAAUAGCAUUUGGGACUGUCGGGCUAGAGAUCGGGAGAGGAGAGUGGAAUUCCCAGUGUAGAGGUGAAAUUCGUAGAUAUUGGGAAGAACACCGGUGGCGAAGGCGGCUCUCUGGACCGAUACUGACGCUGAGGCGCGAAAGCGUGGGGAGCAAACAGGAUUAGAUACCCUGGUAGUCC